Molecule: non-coding RNA, 962 nt
Organism: Nothobranchius furzeri (turquoise killifish)
Lineage: Eukaryota; Metazoa; Chordata; Actinopteri; Cyprinodontiformes; Nothobranchiidae
Source: RefSeq, a predicted model, not a curated record
GUAGCAGUACGAAAUACCUGCUCCAAGUUUAUUGGUUUAGAACAGUACGCCCUCCAUACGUAGGAGGGCGCUCCGGCUAUAAAAGGGGAGCUCCUCCGGUAAGGAAGUAAUUUCAGGAAACGGCUGGUUUUAAGUGUACCACUACGUGUUACCAACCCGUGUCCUUUGGCUGCGUUUUUGGGGUGAUCGGCUCUGCUCCAACUGUGCUUGGGCAAUUAAUCAGUGUUGGGUGUGACAUCAUCGCUUGCCUUUGCUAAACAAAACAUUAGCAAACGGGAAAGAUUGAAUCCCCGUUGCUGCUGGGCAGGGAGUUCCCUUCUACUCAGGGGUCAUCGGUGAGAGGAUCGAUUUCUCCGUGGUCCAGCGGGAGGCGCCGCUGUUUUGUUUCGUUUCCUUUUUCUACAUUUCAAAUCAGCUGUUUGAAGGAAGUUCCCUGGCUCAUGGCCGGAGUCCAGAAGGAAGAACAGCUGAUUUAUAUUGUACACAUUUUAUACCGUUUUUAAUCUUUUUUUUUCUUUGUGCAGGCUGAGGCAGGAGGUGUGGUGUGUGGCCUCGGAGGUGGUGGUCCCGUGUGCGUGUGGUGGUGCUGGUUUUCUCACGUUGGUAUGAAUGUUCACUGCCAGGGGUGAAUCCUUUAUACGUUCUUCAUUAUUUUUCUUGUGUUGGGGCUUCUCUGCCCCGCGUUACCUGCCUCCAUCGCUAGCCUCAGUCCUGCUUCUUAACCUUUUUAUUUAAAUUUGUAGUUGAAUUGUGUUUAGUUAACUCUCAUUUUUUUGGGACCUCAUGAAUCAAUUUCAGUGAGUUAAAUUAAUUUGUUUCUUCAUACAUUUCAUUGGUUCAGUUUCUGUUGGGGCAUUAAUUUUAGUAUUCUUUUAUGGUAUUUUACAUGGCCAGUUUUUAAAAUGUCUUUUAAACUGUCUCCUCUAUAAAAUAAAACAAAUUUAUUGUAACUUCUGAAACCA